UACGAAGGGGGCUAGCGUUGCUCGGAAUCACUGGGCGUAAAGGGUGCGUAGGCGGGUCUUUAAGUCAGAGGUGAAAGCCCAGGGCUCAACCUUGGAAUUGCCUUUGAUACUGAUUGUCUUGAGUACGGGAGAGGUGAGUGGAACUCCGAGUGUAGAGGUGAAAUUCGUAGAUAUUCGGAAGAACACCAGUGGCGAAGGCGACUCACUGGCCCGUUACUGACGCUGAGGCGCGAAAGCGUGGGGAGCAAACAGG
This 253-nucleotide ribosomal RNA is filed under the name uncultured bacterium. Its description in RNAcentral is "partial 16S ribosomal RNA". It matches the Rfam family "Bacterial small subunit ribosomal RNA", at positions 524 to 776 of the family's 1533-position model. The record is from RNAcentral.